RNAcentral lists this long non-coding RNA (239 nucleotides) under Brassica napus (rape). Its description in RNAcentral is "long non-coding RNA (BNAP_LNC015990)". Lineage: Eukaryota; Viridiplantae; Streptophyta; Magnoliopsida; Brassicales; Brassicaceae. The record is from RNAcentral.
UUUAGUCUGAGGAUCUUGCCAAGACAAUGAUGGUUUAUUCCAUUCUAUUUCUUUACCAUCCUUUUAGUCUUUUAUCUUACCAGCUUAUUACUUUUCUCCCCCUGAUGUUGGAUAGUCGGAUUUAUUAACUCUUGCAAUCCGUGUUCUUGGCCACUAAAUAGAUCACUCAUAUUUGGCUCAAGGUACUUCAUUUUUUGUGAGAGAUUCAUAUCCAACAUAUAUCCCCAUCCUCAUCCUCU